RNAcentral lists this ribosomal RNA (463 nucleotides) under uncultured bacterium. RNAcentral describes it as "partial 16S ribosomal RNA". It matches the Rfam family "Bacterial small subunit ribosomal RNA", at positions 29 to 523 of the family's 1533-position model. The record is from RNAcentral.
AGUGAACGCUGGCGGCGUGCCUAAUACAUGCAAGUCGAACGAUGAAGCUCUAGCUUGCUAGAGUGGAUUAGUGGCGCACGGGUGAGUAAUGCAUAGGUUAUGUGCCCUUUAGUCUAGGAUAGCCAUUGGAAACGAUGAUUAAUACUGGAUACUCCCUACGGGGGAAAGUUUUUCGCUAAAGGAUCAGCCUAUGUCCUAUCAGCUUGUUGGUGAGGUAAUGGCUCACCAAGGCUAUGACGGGUAUCCGGCCUGAGAGGGUGAACGGGCACACUGGAACAGAGACACGGUCCAGACUCCUACGGGAGGCAGCAGUAGGGAAUAUUGCUCAAUGGGGGAAACCCUGAAGCAGCAACGCCGCGUGGAGGAUGAAGGUUUUCGGAUUGUAAACUCCUUUUCUAAGAGAAGAUUAUGACGGUAUCUUAGGAAUAAGCACCGGCUAACUCCGUGCCAGCCGCCGCCGUAA